GAGUUUGAUCGUGGCUCAGGAUGAACGCUGGCGGCGUGCCUAAUACAUGCAAGUCGAGCGAACGGACGAGAAGCUUGCUUCUCUGAUGUUAGCGGCGGACGGGUGAGUAACACGUGGAUAACCUACCUAUAAGACUGGGAUAACUUCGGGAAACCGGAGCUAAUACCGGAUAAUAUUUUGAACCGCAUGGUUCAAAAGUGAAAGACGGUCUUGCUGUCACUUAUAGAUGGAUCCGCGCUGCAUUAGCUAGUUGGUAAGGUAACGGCUUACCAAGGCAACGAUGCAUAGCCGACCUGAGAGGGUGAUCGGCCACACUGGAACUGAGACACGGUCCAGACUCCUACGGGAGGUCAGCAGUAGGGAAUCUUACCGCAAUGGGCGAAAGCCUGACGGAGCAACGCCGCGUGAGUGAUGAAGGUCUUCGGAUCGUAAAACUCUGUUAUUAGGGAGAACAUAUGUGUAAGUAACUGUGCACAUCUUGACGGUACUAAUCAGAAGGCCACGGCUAACUACGUCG
Molecule: ribosomal RNA, 517 nt
Filed under: uncultured microorganism
Description: bacterial SSU rRNA
Rfam family: Bacterial small subunit ribosomal RNA
Source: RNAcentral